Gasterosteus aculeatus aculeatus (three-spined stickleback) is the source of this 446-nucleotide non-coding RNA. Lineage: Eukaryota; Metazoa; Chordata; Actinopteri; Perciformes; Gasterosteidae. The record is from RefSeq and is a predicted model, not a curated record.
CUUCAGAGGAGGCUCUUCUGAGGCUGCUGCCAGUGGUCAAAGCCUCCAACAAAGUUCUACUGAGUGACUGUGACCUCUCAGAGAGAAGCUGUGAAGCUCUGUCCUCAGUCCUCAGCUCCCAGUCCUCUCGUCUGAGAGAAUUGGAUCUGAGCUACAACGGCCUGCAGGAUUCAGGCGUGAAGCUGCUGUCUGCUGGACUGGAGAGUCCACACUGUGACCUGGAGACUCUCAGGCUGUCAGGCUGUCUGAUCACAGAGGAAGGCUGUUCUUCUCUGGCCUCAGCUCUGAGCUCCAACCCCUCCCAUCUGAGAGAGCUGGACCUGAGCUACAAUCAUCCAGGAGACUCAGGAGUGAAGCUGUUGUCUGCUGGCCUGGAUAAUCCGCACUGGAGACUGGAGACUCUCAGGGUGGAGCCUGCUGGAGUCCGAUGGUUCAGACCAGGUCUG